GGCCGGUCGGGCGCGGUCGGACGGGGCCGGUUCGGCCCAAAGUGGCCGGGCCGGUCCGGUUUACCCCCUUUUUUUUCUUUUAGGCCUUUCUUUUUCUGUUUUUCUCAUUUCUUUGAUAUCUUUUGAGUUUGAACUCCAAAUUGGUCCAAAUAAAUUCCAGAAAAUUUGUAAAAUCAUGUUCUAUCAAGAUACAACUUUUGGGGGUAGUUUCCCCUCAGAAUAAAUUAUAUAAAAAUACAUUUUCUCUAGAAAUGCCUCUAGGGCUAUAUAUCUAUUUAAAUAAAAUACUUUUCCAACUCCAAAUAAUUAUCCAAAAAUUAUGGGAUAGCUUCUAUAUGCAUUAAACCCCUUUUAUACAUAAACCCUAUUGGUUUGAAAAUCCAAAGCUUAAAUGGGUGUAAACAAAGUCUUUUAAAGCCCUUUUGAGAUUCAAAUAUGCAAUUGUGGCAUGAUGCUCAU
Molecule: long non-coding RNA, 459 nt
Filed under: Brachypodium distachyon (stiff brome)
Lineage: Eukaryota; Viridiplantae; Streptophyta; Magnoliopsida; Poales; Poaceae
Description: long non-coding RNA (BDIS_LNC005633)
Source: RNAcentral